Long non-coding RNA from Triticum dicoccoides, 3488 nucleotides. RefSeq lists it as uncharacterized. The transcript has 8 exons. The record is from RefSeq and is a predicted model, not a curated record. Lineage: Eukaryota; Viridiplantae; Streptophyta; Magnoliopsida; Poales; Poaceae.
CCACCCCGAAUCAGACUUAGCCCACUCCCGUGCAUGCUGGAUAGGGUUCCCCGCCACCCUCACCGGUCGCCGCCGCCGCCCUCACCGGUCGCCGCCGCCAUCGGUUUCCCCUACAUGGCCGGAGGAUAGGCCAUCCCGCCGGUCCAUUCCCGCCCCACCGCGAGGGAGAAGACCGACCAGUUGCGCCUCCCCGCCGGUCGCCCCCCGCCACCCCAAGGAUCAAGGUCGGCCGCGCCGGUCCCCGUCGGUCGCUGCUCCGGAUCCAGGCCGCCCACCGCCCCGCCCCCAUCAGCCCGGUCUAUUUCCCACCGGAUCCCAUCUUCGCCGCCGUCCGACGUGCCUUCUUCAAGGAGCUGCGACCCCAUGUCUCAGAGGAGCUAGCCCCGACGCCAGUGAUGCCCGAGCGACGCUCCCAAGCUAUGACGUACCCCGCCGCCAGGAGGCCAGGAGGCCGCCAUGGAGGCCCGUCCCGAGCUCGCCUCGCUGCUCCUCCGGUGACCCUCGCGAGCGGCGCGACCGGAUGGGGCACGAACCCUAGCGGCGCGGUCGGAUGGGUAACGGACCCUAGCGGCGUGGCCGGAUGGGGCACGGGCGCCAGCGGUGGAGCUGGUUGGGGUGCGGCGGCCAACAGGCAUGAGAUUCAAUCGUGAACGAUGAUUAAUCGGGCCAUUAAUGCCAAUCGACGCUCCGGGAAGCUGGUCCUUUCCUACUCUGCUCAGCUUCGCAAACCACAGUCCAAAAGCAAGGUGAUGGGUGUUGCUUAGGUUCCAGCUCUGUUUGGUUUAAGAUUCUCUCCAGGUUGGAAUUCUAGCGACGUACUGCUUGGUAUCUUUGGUUCUUCCAGUUGAUCCAACGGCUAAUGGACAACCCAGACUGGCCGCUGCUCCUUUCCCAAUCUCCUCACUCUUGCAAACCAAUCUCCAGCAGCGAUGGGUGAUGUUCAGGUGUUCUGUUGGAUUAGAAAGUUUAGGAAUUAACCAUUUGGAAGGUGAUCCACUGGUUUCUAUGUUUCCAAUCUAUACAGUACCUCUUGCUGCUCCCCUGAGCAAUUAUUUGACCAUUCACCAAUAUUAUACUACAUACUUUGUACUCCGGUCCAAUGUUAUCCCAUGUACAGAUUUGUUCUUUGUCUAAUUUAUAGAUUCUAAUGCUUGGAUGCUCGAUACAAGGUCGAAUUCAAGCUAUGUACUGCUGGUUUCCUUUCUUUCCUCCACGGCGACCUGAUACGGCCCAUACGGGCUGCAAGGAGGCUCCAGAGUUACCACUACCAUUGGUCCUCCCUGCCAUUUGCUGAAUUAUGCUUCAUCGCAUAUUAGCCAGAAUUCGUGGCUGUUGUUCUAUAAUCGUAAUCGAUCAAGCCACUUCCCAGUGCUUAUGUAAUCUUUGUACUGGUAGGAACUAGGAAUUUGGAAAAACAAAUCAGUACUACUAAUUUACCGUGGAGCCUUGACAACAUCGUGCUUUGUUUAUUCACUUUUAAAAGUUAAACUUAAACUGGCAAAGUGGUUACUGUUUUAUUUCAUCCCUGUUAGUCAAAGCUCAUGUAAUGUGACUUGCCAAGUUUCUGUUGAAUGUAUUGUUUAAAAAGAAAGAUCCGAAGGACUGAUUAUUUGGCAUCAAAUUAAGUACUGUCCUGCAUGAACUUUGUCAUGUUUACCCUCUUCUAUAUUUUUUAUAUGCUUUACCAACUAUAUCUCCUGAUGUUAUAAGUAUUACCUUUGUAGGCUGAUACUAUUACAGUGAAGACAUAGAACAUGAAUUAUAGAAGUUAUUGAGCAAGGGGUGAGGCAGGUCAAUCUCUCUUGUCCUGUUUACUACAAUGUUAUAGUGAAUGUUCAGGAUUCUACCAGCGAUUAUCUCCCAGUCUUUAGGUUGACCAAUUUCAUACAAGAACCCUUUGUACUUAUCUUAUUUAUGAGUAUUAUGACACUUCGAUGACAUGAUUUUCUAGUGUAAUUUUCAGAUUUUGCAGAAAGAAACACCUAACAUCCAACAGCUGACAGCAUCAUAAGCAUUGUUUCCCCUUACCAAUAACGGUGCCAUGUAAAGGGACUAGCUACACCUACUGAUUAAUAAUACAAAGAUUAAGAUUCCCUGGGAGUUGGGAUUGCAUCUUUAUUUUGCGGCCACUUCAGUUCUUUGCUUUGAUAUGGCAGGAUUGGUCAUCUGAUAACCCUAAAAGGUCCUCUUUCUUAUCAAAACGAACAAUUACUCCAAUAGAAAAAAAUUGACCAGCUGAUAGAUAAAUAUAUUUUAUUUUUCUGAAUGUUGUAUUUAUCGACUCUAGCAUGGGAGAACAAAGUACGAACAGUGUGUUUGGAAUUUCAGUGAAGCCAUUGUUCGGUUCUUUUUGGAUAGAUUGAUUUAUUUAGGUUCUGUUCUCGUUUAUAUAAUUUGAUUUUUCACUCGGUGACAAUGUUAAUUGUAAGUAAACUGAACCAUUUGAAUCUAUUUUAUGAUGCAACCAUUUAUAUUUUCAAUUAAUUUCUUUGUUAUUUACUCAAGAUGGGCAUAAUCAAAUUAGGCAGGCUUCUCAUAGUAUUAUACUCAUCAUGGCGUAGGACAAUGCUGCAAGGAGAAACAUCAGUAUGAGCUGCAAGGACAAGAUGCCCACCCAGCCUGUGCUGGCAGCAACCUGACUUCGUUGUCAACAACUUGAUGAGGACCAAAUCGACUUCAGAUUAUUUCUAGAAGAUGCUAUAUACAAAUCCUUUCUCUGCAAUUUUUUGCCUCACACAACUUUCACCCUUUUCAAGCCAACGCCGUCGGCCAGUACAACCACUUCCUCCUCCUUCAUUUAUCUCUCUCUUGCUGACUGCCUUCCUGCUUCCUUCAGGCAGAUUCAUGAUGCACACAUGAGCAAAGUCAAAUUUAAUCGCACCCAGAAGAUGGCGGCAAGCACAUUUGGCUGCCGGGACAAGAAAUAGUUUAUCCGUCACUGCCAUUUGCAUUAUCCAUGCCUGUUGAUGUGGUUGAUACUUACAGCAAGUACUCGCUCAUCCUCUCACUGAAUCUAUAGUUUUAUCUUCCUAGCUGUUUAUGGCUGAAACUGGGGAUUACGUAUUACAAGCUCGCAGUUAUGUACUGCUGGAGAAGGAAAAAUUAGUCAGUGGCUGCUGUUGAUGCUCAUGCCCUUUUGCCGGAAAUAGUAACAACAACAGCAGUCACCUUGGGUAAUUUCUCUUACCCAAUAUAUUUACAGUUGUCUCUCUAAGCUAUUUAUGUGUCAAAUUCAGGACGAGGCAAGGUAGACCUCAGAACUAUGUAUGACGUUUCUUUACUGAUGCAGUUUAUGGCUGAAACUGGGGAUUACGUAUUACAAGCGUGCCUCACAGUUAUGUACUGCUGGAGAAGGAAUAAUUAGUCAGUGGCUGUUGUUGAUGCUCAUGCCCUUUUGCCGGAAAUAGUAACAACAGCAACAGUCACCUUGAUUUGCUUCAGAUCACGGAAGCUUGGGUUGAUGGAGUGCUUGUCUUUAGUUUUUGUUU